Small nuclear RNA from Octodon degus (degu), 121 nucleotides. Its record names the gene U5. It matches the Rfam family "U5 spliceosomal RNA". From Rfam's summary of the family: U5 RNA is a component of both types of known spliceosome. NCBI's taxonomy places the organism in Eukaryota, Metazoa, Chordata, Mammalia, Rodentia, Octodontidae. The record is from Ensembl.
AUACUCUGUUUCUUCAGAUCAUAUAAAUCUUUUUGGCUUCUACUAAAGAGUUCCACGAAGAGGAACAAUUCUGAAUCUUAAACCAAUUUUUUUUUGGGGUGGGCCUUGUUUCAGCAAGGCU